Molecule: long non-coding RNA, 263 nt
Organism: Patiria miniata (bat star)
Lineage: Eukaryota; Metazoa; Echinodermata; Asteroidea; Valvatida; Asterinidae
Exons: 2
Source: RefSeq, a predicted model, not a curated record
CCAAGUGGAGCUUGAGUUCGUCCAGUGUCUUGCUAAUCCACAUUAUUUGAAUUAUGUCAUCAAAGAGCAUGUAAACACACUCAGAUUCCACUCAUGCAGGGAUAAGAAACACUUCCCUCUCUGGACUCAACUGACCCAACGGCAGGAUUUCAAAGUAAAAUCAUCGACUACAGUCUGCAGCAACCACUUUAAAUACGGCCAGCCAUAUCCUGAUGAACUUCACCCAUCUUUAUUUUUGAGAGGAUACGACCUUCCUGAGACAC